Molecule: ribosomal RNA, 497 nt
Filed under: uncultured bacterium
Lineage: Bacteria
Description: partial 16S ribosomal RNA
Rfam family: Bacterial small subunit ribosomal RNA
Source: RNAcentral
GAUGAACGCUGGCGGUGUGCCUAAUACAUGCAAGUCGAGCGAACAGACGAGGAGCUUACUCCUCUGACGUUAGCGGCGGACGGGUGAGUAACACGUGGAUAACCUACCUAUAAGACUGGGAUAACUUCGGGAAACCGGAGCUAAUACCGGAUAACAUGUUGAACCGCAUGGUUCAACAGUGAAAGACGGUCUUGCUGUCACUUAUAGAUGGAUCCUCGUCGCAUUAGCUAGUUGGUAAGGUAACGGCUUACCAAGGCAACGAUGCGUAGCCGACCUGAGAGGGUGAUCGGCCACACUGGAACUGAGACACGGUCCAGACUCCUACGGGAGGCAGCAGUAGGGAAUCUUCCGCAAUGGGCGAAAGCCUGACGGAGCAACGCCGCGUGAGUGAAGAAGGUCUUCGGAUCGUAAAACUCUGUUAUUAGGGAAGAACAAAUGUGUAAGUAACUAUGCACGUCUUGACGGUACCUAAUCAGAAAGCCACGGCUAACUACGUG